AGUGAAAUUGCUGGAUCAUAUGGCAAUUCUAUUUAUAAUUUUUUGAGAAACUGCCAUACUAUUUACCUUAGCAACUGUACCAUUUCACAGUCCCACCAGCAAC
This 103-nucleotide microRNA precursor is filed under the name Marmota monax (woodchuck). Lineage: Eukaryota; Metazoa; Chordata; Mammalia; Rodentia; Sciuridae. The record is from RNAcentral.